This 520-nucleotide ribosomal RNA is filed under the name uncultured bacterium. RNAcentral describes it as "partial 16S ribosomal RNA". It matches the Rfam family "Bacterial small subunit ribosomal RNA", at positions 28 to 523 of the family's 1533-position model. The record is from RNAcentral.
AACGAACGCUGGCGGCGUGCCUAAGACAUGCAAGUCGUACGGAAAGGCCCCCUUCGGGGGGCACUCGAGUGGCGCACGGGUGAGUAACGCGUGGGUAAUCUGCCUUAGGGUCUAGGACAACCCCGGGAAACUGGGGCUAAUACUGGAUAAGACCACGAGCUCCUCGGAGCUUGCGGGAAAAGAUGGCCUCUCCUUGGAAGCUAUCGCCCUUCGAUGAGCCCGCGUCCCAUUAGCUAGUUGGUGAGGUGACGGCUCACCAAGGCUUUGAUGGGUAGCUGUACUGCGAGGAUGACCAGCCACACUGGAACUGAGACACGGUGCAGACUCCUACGGGAGGCAGCAGUCGGGAAUUCUGGGCAAUGGGCGAGAGCGUGACCCAGCAACGCCGCGUGAGGGAUGAAGGCCCUCGGGUCGUAAACCUCUGUCGGGAGGGAAGAACGGUUCACGUUCGAACAGGACGGGAGCCUGACGGUACCUCCAAAGGAAGCACCGGCUAACUCCGUGCCAGCCGCCGCAGUAA